RNAcentral lists this ribosomal RNA (502 nucleotides) under uncultured bacterium. Its description in RNAcentral is "bacterial SSU rRNA". It matches the Rfam family "Bacterial small subunit ribosomal RNA", at positions 28 to 507 of the family's 1533-position model. The record is from RNAcentral.
GAUGAACGCUAGCGACAGGCUUAACACAUGCAAGUCGAGGGGCAACGGGACGUAGCAAUACGUUGCCGGCGACCGGCGGAUGGGUGAGUAACGCGUAUGCAACCUACCCACGACAGGGGGAUAGCCCGUUGAAAGACGGAUUAAUACCCCAUAAAACAGGGGUUCCGCAUGGGACUAUUUGUUAAAGGGUUCUCCGCGAGGGGGACCUCGGUUGUGGAUGGGCAUGCGUUCCAUUAGGCAGUUGGUGAGGUAACGGCUCACCAAACCGACGAUGGAUAGGGGAACCGAGAGGUUGGUCCCCCACACUGGUACUGAGAUACGGACCAGACUCCUACGGGAGGCAGCAGUGAGGAAUUUUGGUCAAUGGACGGAAGUCUGAACCAGCCAAGUCGCGUGAAGGAAGGCGGCCCUAAGGGUUGUAAACUUCUUUUGUAAGGGAAUAAAGUGCGUUACGUGUAGUGCAUUGCAAGUACCUUACGAAUAAGGAUCGGCUAACUCCGUG